AAAUCGUUGGAGUGGCAUUUCCGUUUGUACAGUGAAGAAAUGAGUUACAAGUAAUAAAUAAAAGCGACUUUUGUUAGAUUUCUUUUAACCUACAAUCUACUGAAAUUAAACCCGUUGUUAUCCUGCGACGGAGAGCGAAAUGAACACCCGACGGUGCAUCUUGUGAACAACUUUGAAGGAAAGAAAAACAACCAAACGAGUCUGAUAUGAA
Molecule: long non-coding RNA, 211 nt
Filed under: Danio rerio (zebrafish)
Lineage: Eukaryota; Metazoa; Chordata; Actinopteri; Cypriniformes; Danionidae
Description: lncRNA si:ch211-270h14.1 (ENSDARG00000096706.4)
Source: RNAcentral